This 636-nucleotide ribosomal RNA is filed under the name uncultured Actinomycetes bacterium. RNAcentral's name for it is "bacterial SSU rRNA". It matches the Rfam family "Bacterial small subunit ribosomal RNA", at positions 229 to 873 of the family's 1533-position model. Lineage: Bacteria; Bacillati; Actinomycetota; Actinomycetes. The record is from RNAcentral.
AUUCGCGGCCUAUCAGCUUGUUGGUGAGGUAAUGGCUCACCAAGGCGACGACGGGUAGCCGGCCUGAGAGGGUGACCGGCCACACUGGGACUGAGACACGGCCCAGACUCCUACGGGAGGCAGCAGUGGGGAAUAUUGCACAAUGGGCGAAAGCCUGAUGCAGCAACGCCGCGUGGGGGAUGACGGCCUUCGGGUUGUAAACCUCUUUUAGUAAGGAAGAAGCCUUCGGGUGACGGUACUUGCAGAAAAAGGACCGGCUAACUACGUGCCAGCAGCCGCGGUAAUACGUAGGGUCCGAGCGUUGUCCGGAAUUAUUGGGCGUAAAGAGCUCGUAGGCGGUUUGUCGCGUCUGCUGUGAAAUCCCGAGGCUCAACCUCGGGCCUGCAGUGGGUACGGGCAGACUUGAGUGCGGUAGGGGAGAAUGGAAUUCCUGGUGUAGCGGUGGAAUGCGCAGAUAUCAGGAGGAACACCGAUGGCGAAGGCAGUUCUCUGGGCCGUAACUGACGCUGAGGAGCGAAAGCAUGGGGAGCGAACAGGAUUAGAUACCCUGGUAGUCCAUGCCGUAAACGUUGGGCGCUAGAUGUGGGGACCUUUCCACGGUUUCCGUGCCGUAGCUAACGCAUUAAGCGCCCCGCC